GACGCUAGGCCAAAAAACACGUUUUAAUGACUCCAACCUAAGUGUAUGUAAACUUCCGACUUCAACUAUAGGUCUAUGCAUCACCAGCUACACCAGCAUAUCUGUUGUUUAUACAGCCGUGGCCCAGGUCUCCUGCACCAGUAAGAGCUAAAUAUCUGGGUCUCUCCUGCACCAGUAAGAGCUAAAUAUCUGGGUCUCUCCUGCACCAGUUAGCACUAAAUAUCUGGGUCUCUCCUGCACCAGUAAGUGCUACAUUUCCGGGUCUCUCCUUCACUAGUAAGCUCUACAGAUCCAGGUCUGUCUUACACCAGUAAGCACUAAAUAUCAUAUGUCUCUCUUACAUGGGCAAGCGCUAAAUAUCUGGGUCUCUCCUACACCAGUAAGUGCUAAAUAUCCGGGUCUCUCCUGCAGCAGUAAGUGCUAAAUAUCUGGGUCUCUUUUACACCAGUGCACACUAAAUAUCCUCAAUCACAAAGGCUUUGAAGAGCCUAUGAGGUUGGUUUUAAAUGAUGGUCUGCACCUACGCCACCCUUUCGCUCUCCACUCGCACAAAUCCAUUUGCCGUGCACACAAUACAUUUCAAAUCAAAGCAGCGUCACCAUAACAUGCCUUAGGAGACAUUAAGCUAUACUAUGUUACUUUAAUGUAUGAUAGCAUGGCCCCCGUAUGCUUUUGAUGUGCUGACUGUUUUAAUACUUUAUUCAUAAUAAUACACUGGCUGCUUCUACUGUUCCGUUCCUCCUUCCAUCCCUCCACCCCUCCCUGGGUCUUGUCACUGGGUUGGACUGUCGGUGUGCUUGUGAUUAAAGACAAUGAUAUGGACCCGGAGAUGAAGAGUGCCAGGAUAACCUAUCAGAGAGCACUGGGUGUAAAGGUACUACUCUCCUAUUGGCUGCUGUUGGAAUCAGACACAUCUUCAUUUUUCUUCCAUCCAGCCUGCUUUCACAUCCAAGCCCCAGGGAAGUGUCAGAAUUGUAGUCCAUGUCUUUUGUGUGUGUGUGUAUGUGCACGUUCAUUUCCCUGUGUGCGUGAGUGUGUGCACGUGUGUGUGUGUGUGCACGUGUGUGUGUGUGGGCACUUUAGUGUGUGUGUGUGAGUGGAGUGUGCAGGUGUGUAUGUGUGCGGUAAACAUCUUAUAGACAGUGCUUAGAUACUGAGAACACUAACCCUCCUCCAAGCCUGGCCCAGACACAGACACAGUGUUGGGAAUGUUGGGCAGAUUUCAAGGUAAUGUCUUCUUCCAGCUACUUCAGCAGGACAUCAUCUCAUUAUGAAUGAAAGAGACUAGCUACAUCACAGUAAGCUUUAUGCAUGGAUUUAUAAUGGUGCUCACAUUUGUAACAAUGAUUUCUCACUGGCUUGCUCUAACUCUUAUUUAUUCCAGUCAUGCAUUUUAUACAACACUCGAGUGAAAUUCAGAUUUAACACCACACCAAAAUAAUACACUCAAUGAUCACACUUUAAAAAACGUGUUUGUUUUUUCCUCUUAUUCAUGUAGCGGCUGAUGUUGUUAUUACACCCCUGACAAUGGUGAGGAAUUCUGCUCUGUCUGUGUCUCCUGUUUUAAUCUGGUUGGGUACCUAACACGGCUGUCAGUCACCACCACUCAACAUUCAUUUUUCAGUGUGUUACCUUGCAUUACUUUCUGUUAUAUUCAGCAAUCACCCCAUUUAAAUUAGAAACGUUUCCAAUCAAAGAAUCCAUGCAUCGACACUAGUUAAAAAUACAUAUUUUAGGGCCUCCCGAGUGGCGCAGUGGUCUAAGGCACUGCAUCGCAGUGCUAGCUGUGCCACUAGAGAUUCUGGGUUCGAGUUCAGGCAAUGUUGUGACUGGGAGACCCAUGGGGCACACAAUUGGCCCCGCGUCGUCCAGGUUAUCAGGAGGGUUUGGCCGGAGGGGAUAUCCUUGUCCCAUCGUGCACUAGCAACUCCUAUGCGCAGUGCACGUUGUCACAGUCACCAGGUGUAUGGUGUUUCCUCCAACACAUUGGUGAGGCUGGCUUCCGGGUUAAGUGGGCAUUGUGUCAAAGAAGCAGUGCGGCUUGGUUGGGUUGUGUUUUGGAGGAUGCAUGGCUCUCGACCUUCACCUCUCCCGAGUCCGUACUGGAGUUGCAGCGAUGAGACAAGACUGUAACUACCAAUUAGAUAACAUGAAAAAUUGUGGAGAAAUGGGGUAAAAAUAUAAAUAUAUAUAUAUGUAUAUAUUUACCCUAUUGCUGCCAAUGUAAGGUCUCGAUUCAAUCCGUUUCGCCGAAGUUCAGCGUUAUAUCGCACUUACAAUGUGAAGGUAAUUUCCAAUUGAGCUGACAUAUGCAAAGUUUACUGUGAAUGCAGUCUCCACAAGCGCGGGAACAUUGCAUUUAAACUUAAAUCACGCUAUAGCUCUCAACUUCGGCGAUAAGGCUUGAAUCAAGCCCUUAGUCCAUCAUCCGGUCAACAAUGUCAUAGUCAGUUAACACUGGGGCUCGGGCUAGCGGCGUGACUGGGACCAGUGUGGCCAGCUCAUUCCAAGCUCCACAAGGGGCACCUGGCUCCCCUCCCUCCCUUGGCUGGAUCAAUGACUAGGGCCAUCCCAGCCCAGAGACCAGGGGUCAGCAUCAAAAGCCCCCUGCCCACAUCCCUGCCACCUGGUGCUCUCUUUCGGACGAGGGGGUACACUUCCACCCCUCCACCCUCUCUGAACAGGCCAGUCUGUGUGGACAUGGAGCCCGAACAGGGCCGUCGUGUGAUCUCCCGUGCCCCCCUCCCCAGCCACCCCCCACAGGGAGAGGGUGAGGGGUCAACCCCAUCAGACCACCACACGACUCACAGAGCCAUUUGAUGAGGGGAUCUGUUUAUGAUUCCAUUAUGCCAGUUGAAUCCUGAUCCUGAGCGCUCCUCAACGUGGCAGUGAUUGAGUGGUUGUUUGGAAUGUGUUUGUGUCAUCUGUGGUCAAAACCUUCAUGUUGGAAAAUGUUUGUUUUCAGGGAUUGGUGGAUGUGAAGUGGACCUGGUCAUUGAAGUGCGUUAGCAGAUCCCUAGUCUUGUGAACAAGGGAUGAAAAGGAGAGAAAAAAAGGUCUGAUGAGUUUGGCAAAGGGAGGACGGAGGGGGAGACAGAUGGCAUGAAGUCUGCAUGGCUCUGGCCUGGCGCUGAAAUCCUCCUCUCUCACAUUCCAACAAAUCCUAGCAGGAGGCUGGGGAGUCUGCCACGCCACUCUGUGGGUCCACAGGGUUCUCUCUGCAUCUCUCUCCUCGCUCCCCUGCACCCCCCGUAAGUCCCUGACCAAGGGUGUCAGCCCCCCCCAACACCAUAUAACCACACCUAUAAAUAUAUUAAAAGGCUACUUCAGGAUUUUGCCAGAGGCCCUUUAUCUACUUGCCCAGAGUCAGAAGAAUUAGUGGAUACCAUUUUUAUGUCUCUGUGUCCAGUAUGAAGGACUUUCAAGGUAGUUUCGUGAGCCAAUGUUACCUAGCGUUAGCGCAAUGACUGGAAGUCUAUGGUUAUCUGCUAGCAUAAAGUAUCCCUUUAAGAUGUGUACAGUAUGAUGGGAUUUGUGAGUUUACUGGCCUGCUAGAUAAGAGACACAGGAGGGUGGGAGAUGGAGACUGAGGCGCUGAUUGUUAGUAUGGAAUUGGGCAGAAUCGGGCCAGGUGUGUGGGAUAGAAUUGGGAGUGGACCUAUCCCUCCACUUGUGUCAGAUCUCAUUGAGUAAACAUAGGACCAAAGACUGUAAUCCAUUUAUAUGUGAGGAAGAAAACAAAGGAGCUUUUCAAUUAGUCUUGUCAUCCCCAGCUCCCGAUAAGGAGGAAACGCUAGCAAGUUGAGCCUGUCAUAGGCCAGACAUGCCCCGCUCAGAUUGCCUCGUAUCCUCCUCAGUCGGUCCGUCAGCGGGCCUAAGUGUAACUGCAUAGUAAUCACACACAGACAGUAUGCCCUACCGCUGGCCCCGCAGUGACCGCAUGACAUCUUUAUGCAUUUCCAAUUUUAGGAAUGUGCAUUGAGGAGCACCAUAUAAAAGCACAUCAGCAAUAUGAUAAUCAUGUUUAUAAUGUCAUUUUCGGACUGUACUCUGUGCACUUUCAAGCUUUCUCUCUCUCUCUCUCUCUCUCUCUCUCUCUCUCUCUCUGCACUUUUCCUUCUGCUUGUCCUAAUGAGUGGCUCUUAUGAGAAUAGAGCAUACUUUGAAAAGGUCACAGGAGG
Molecule: non-coding RNA, 4181 nt
Organism: Oncorhynchus mykiss (rainbow trout)
Lineage: Eukaryota; Metazoa; Chordata; Actinopteri; Salmoniformes; Salmonidae
Source: RefSeq, a predicted model, not a curated record